CUUUUACAAAAUCAGCAAUCGCAUCCACACAGUCUUCAGCCAAAUUAUAAUCUUUUUUAAUGCCCAUCAAUUUUGUAGCAGAUGAUAAAGCUGAAUGACCAUCUCUGCAACCUUCGUACAAUGGUUGCUUUCCAGCAUCCAACAUAUCAUAAAAUCUCCUAGCUUGUGCAUUGAGUAAAUCUUCCCCUCUAAAAUGAUCAUU
RNAcentral lists this long non-coding RNA (202 nucleotides) under Brassica napus (rape). RNAcentral describes it as "long non-coding RNA (BNAP_LNC026001)". Lineage: Eukaryota; Viridiplantae; Streptophyta; Magnoliopsida; Brassicales; Brassicaceae. The record is from RNAcentral.